RNAcentral lists this non-coding RNA (24 nucleotides) under Arabidopsis thaliana (thale cress). The record is from RNAcentral. Lineage: Eukaryota; Viridiplantae; Streptophyta; Magnoliopsida; Brassicales; Brassicaceae.
ACAACAAAUUAAUGGUGUCUCGCA